RNAcentral lists this long non-coding RNA (284 nucleotides) under Sorghum bicolor (sorghum). RNAcentral's name for it is "long non-coding RNA (SBIC_LNC008255)". The record is from RNAcentral. Lineage: Eukaryota; Viridiplantae; Streptophyta; Magnoliopsida; Poales; Poaceae.
CCCCAAUAGAACAGUAGAUCAUCCUUACCAAGGUUAGAACGAGACUACGGUUGCAGUCUUCUCUAUACAUCGCUCACAUCGAGAAACAUUCUUUGUAGCCUAAAGGGGUAGUAGCAAUAGAUUUGGUUAGUCAGAUGCACCCUUUCUCCCAGUGGUAAAAAUAUAAAUACAAUACUCUAGAAAACCUCCCGGGUGAAAUGCUCACCGAUAUCCGUGCGCUUGCAGAUCAUUUCCUAAUUGCGUUACCAAAUAUCAACACUUGGGAGGAGCUUGCUUCUUCGCCC